CACAGAGAUGCUGGUAGUUGGUGUGC
This 26-nucleotide non-coding RNA is filed under the name Homo sapiens (human). Lineage: Eukaryota; Metazoa; Chordata; Mammalia; Primates; Hominidae. The record is from RNAcentral.